CAGCCACAUAUGGAUUCUGAUGAACUCACGGGUGAGGAUCACUUGGGUCGCACUCGUCCAAUCACAAGGAUCUAUCAUCCAACAACGAACUCCUGCGUCUUGAGGAAACUGGUCUCCGACCCACUGAAUUUGGGACCUUGCACCAACUCAGACCCGUGGAGCUACACACAACAAAAGAAUCUGAUGAUCAAGGGCACCUAUUUCUGCCUCCAGGCCACUGGACCAGGCAAGCCAGUGAGGCUCAGCAUCAACUGUGUGCCUGAAGACACGCAAUGGGAGAUGAUUGGGGAUUCAGAGAGAAUGCAUCUAUCGUCCAAGCUAUCCGACGGCACUGCCGUCUGCUUGGACGUCAAGCAAGAUGGAACCAUCGUCUCUAACCCAUGCAAAACGCAGGGCAGUGCUGAGGAAGAGGAGUAUGAUAGCCAGUGGUUUCAUAUGGUAACAGGC
This 447-nucleotide unclassified non-coding RNA is filed under the name Hevea brasiliensis (rubber tree). Lineage: Eukaryota; Viridiplantae; Streptophyta; Magnoliopsida; Malpighiales; Euphorbiaceae. The record is from RNAcentral.